GCAGGCAGGCAGGUAGGCAGAGAGUGUCCAGCACCAGAGCUCUCUGCAGACCCUCUGCCCUGCCCUGCCCUGCCUUAGUAAUGGAGAUAUGAUGUGAUUUCCUUUUUGUGGUUAUCCCCCCACCUUGAAUAUUUAGGGACUGGCUUGCCAUGGGGCUUUGGUAUUGAGCAGAGAUGUAGGGCAGUGUGGGAGGAAUAUGUACCAUUAAAUUGAAGUGGAGUGGACAAAUAGUUGGUUUUUAAUUUUUUUUUAAUUUAAAAAACCCCAUUCAAAAAGUCCUGCAAGUGGCUUGUUUCAUGGCAGAACAUUACAAAAAUGUCUGGAACUGAAGCUCAAACACACCAUCACCACCACUACCUGGCCUUAGACAAUCAUUCCACUCCAAUAUGGAAGAAUCUGCCCUUUACCUUCAUAAAAAAGGGUAAAACACCCCGCUUUCAGCCCCAGCCUUUAGAUCACCUAGAAUGACUUGGCAUAGGGCUUUGGCCUUGAGCAGAGAUGUAGGGCAGGGUGGGGGGAAUAUGUAUAUUUAAAUAGAAGUGGAUUGGACAAAUUGUUGAUUUUCUGUAUUUUUUAAAAACCCUUCCAAAAAGUCCUAUAAGUGGGUUUUUUUCAUGGCAGAAAAUUACAAAAACUUCUAGAGCAAACAAUAUAUAUUAUUUAUUUAUGAAUGCACUAUGUUCAAGUUGAUUUGCAACCCAGAAGGUCUGAGAACUGUGAAGCACAUGUGCUUUUUAUUUUUAUUUCUUUAGAAAUGCAUUAUAUGUCCAAGCUGGUUGGACAUGUCCAAAAACCUCACUCACACUAUUUACACUGUAUGUCAUCAAUCAGUAUGGUUCUGUAAAGAAAUAAAAUGUUAAGGAGGCCCCACACAUGCUGAUUCACCCCCAACUCCACACCUCACUAGGGAUGGCACUGCCUAGGUAAGUGUGCAUAGGAUUGUUGCUAGGCCAAGGACCUUUCCAAAGUAGCGGCUUUCUACAUUAGUAGGGGGGAAAUAAUCUGUCCCUAUUAGCAGUGACUCUCCAGUGACUGCUGCUGCUUUAGUUCCUUUAGUUUGCUGCUUUAGUUCCUUUAGAGCCAGCGUGGUGUAGUGGUUAGAGUGCUGGACCAGGACCAAGGUGACCUGAGUUCAAAUCGCCAUUCAGCCAUGAAACUAGCUGGGUGACUCUGGGCCAGUCACUUCUCUCUCAGCCUAACCUACUUCACAGGGUUGUUGUGAGGAGAAACUUAAUUAUGUAGUACACUGCUCUGGGCUUCUUGGAGGAAGAGUGGGAUAUAAAAUGUAAAUAAUAAAUAAAUAAUGAUAUUUUCUCUUUAGAAUGACCCCUUUGGGAGAGACAACCAUCUACUCAUUCUUUUUGCUAUGUUCAGUUUGAGAACUUUUUGUUGAAAAGCAGCAUCUAAAUAACAAUAAUAUCUUGGACUUCAUAGUUGACUUGGAAGGAUUUUUACUUUUGCUUUGGUGUUUCGUCCUCAAUUUUCUUGCAACUGUUAUUCUGGCUGCCAUACAAAAAGGGCCAUAACUAUGGUACAGUGAAGGAUACAUCUCUCUCUGUCUCAUCUUCACAGUUGGGCCUGCAAAGGCUACUUGUUGGUUUUGAUGCAGCCACAAGCAUCAUAACCGAAAUCACAGAUCUUAACUCAGACUUUCACAACUUGUGACCCACCAAGCCAAAUGCAUAAUCCAGCAGCCAUCUGCUGUGUAUUCAACAAACCUCCUGCUUUGGCUGCCUGCCUCUGCAUACAGAGCUGUAGAGCACCUGACAAGUCGUAAGGCAUGAGUGGUGGGCCUCAUCCAGCUCAGAGAAUUUUGCUGCAAGAGAGGCUGCUGUGUGGGAAGAAACUGGAGAGAAAUUAAAAGAAAGCCUGACCACUCAGAGAGAUAUUUUAAAAGGAAUCAUUAUGACCCAGCAGCCUGAAGCAGGGCAAGGAGGUCCAAGAAAGAAUGGUAAGAGGGGAGCUGGAUUUCACACAGUGAGUUACACUAACUUGCCAAUUCUUUGGCUGCAACCUUUUAGUCAUGGUAUCGAUUAUCAUCUGUAUGUUAUUCAAUCUCAUGUCUUUGUCUUUAAGAGAGAGAAAAUGCACCAGAAGAAGAAGAAAUGGCAAGAGAAUCAACAUUCAAGGUACUGCUAUACAACAAGCAGUCACCAUGGAGAUGGCAGUAGACCAACACAGGUAGAGAGUUUCAACAGGCUUGAUAUUUUCAGAAUCAGAAUACAGAAAAGGAAAAUCAUUUAUGUCAAUAUGUUGUCACGUACAUCAGUGCACCACAUCUUGAAAUGCCUUUUGUUUCUUGAAGUCCACCCCUGGAUAUCUUGCUGUGUAUUAGAAGUACUUCAGCCUUAAACUGUAUCCAGUAGGAGGCAUCUGCUAUUUUCAUCUGCUGUAGCAUCAGGUGUUUACUAUGCCCUUGUUCAGCAACUAGUUUUUCUGGGCCAACUUUAAAAAGGGAAGGGGACAGUUGGGCCAAGGCAAGGUACCACCUCCAAAGAUGCAUGCCAGUA
Hemicordylus capensis (graceful crag lizard) is the source of this 2510-nucleotide long non-coding RNA. RefSeq lists it as uncharacterized. The transcript is spliced from 3 exons. Lineage: Eukaryota; Metazoa; Chordata; Lepidosauria; Squamata; Cordylidae. The record is from RefSeq and is a predicted model, not a curated record.